This 1265-nucleotide long non-coding RNA is filed under the name Felis catus (domestic cat). RNAcentral describes it as "lncRNA (ENSFCAG00000043828.2)". Lineage: Eukaryota; Metazoa; Chordata; Mammalia; Carnivora; Felidae. The record is from RNAcentral.
AGGCUAAUGGGUUCGGGAGUGUUAAAACCGCCGCCCCGCCUGGUGGUGAGCUGGGCUGUUGCAUCACAGCACACACGUGAUUGGGCUUCCUUCCAGGUCUGUGUAUGGUCAGACUCUGAGCCAGCAGCCAAGACAGUGAGCCUGGCACCCACGGUGCUCCGGUUUCCAGAAAGAAUCACGAAUACUCUUCCUGUGCAGAUAAAGGAACAAUUGUACUACAGGAGAACUUACUGGAAAGUAACGUGGGGUCACCAGGAAGGAAAAGGAAUUCACUCCUCAGUCACAGUCUUCAGUCUGGUUGGGAGUCACUCAGACUUGGAAAGGUGGACUCUGAUCCUUCUGAGGUCUUGGACUGCACUGAGCAACCUGGGGAUGCCCCGGAGCCUUUAACUCGUUACCACCCCUCACAAGUUCACCUCACCACACGCGACUAUGUGAAGCCCCAAGCUGAGGCUGCCAGCAGCUGUAAGCAAUAUGGUCUGCGUCGUUGCUCAUGGCAGGAACUUUGAGCUGGGACACAGUUUCACUCCGUAGAUGUAUUUCUCCUCUGAGGGAAGCCUAACACCCGAGCUGACCUUGCCCCCUUCUGAAAGGGAGGACCAUAUCUCACAGUGGCAACAGGAGGCUACAGGUCAGUGGGGUGAUGACCGGGCCCUCAGAGACCCUGCUCUCUCUCUUUACAAAACCCCAUAAAUCCUUCCAAAGGGAGUAAUUCCCUCAGGAUCAAGAGAGUCCUCCACAUUCCUAAAAUCAGUGAAGGCAAAAUGUACAGGGAUUUCUGAGAAAAGUAAAUGUGGUGUGAGCAUGAUCCCUGGGUGUUACUGUGCUGCAGAGAAGGCCCCCCCCUUCCCCCCCUGAAUGGUGUUCUUUGCUCUCAAGUUAACUCACGCACUGGACUUGGUCCAAGUACAUUUUGUUUCUUGAUUUCUAGCCAGGCUUCUCUCAGUUGUGGUGCAUUCUCCUCUUUGCUCCCCUCCCUCCCCCGCCCCCUUCUCUCUUUUUAUAAUUAUUUCAGCUUUUCCAUGUGACUGAACUGAUACAGAGGAAAACCCACCAGCUUAGGUAGGGCUUCCACCAGAGUGGGGCCAGAGGGACUCUGUGAACGGCCGGCCCCUCACUCAGCAAUGGCCUGCAUGGCAAGGUAUGUCUAAGAGCAGCUGAAGCAGAAAGCGUUUGAACUCUGCCCCUGCCAAAUGACUUCCAGAUGUGUAAACUCCAGCCUCCCUCUGCUCUCUGACUGUAGCCCUGCCAACAUACAUCUGCAG